GAUGAACGCUGGCGGCGUGCUUAACACAUGCAAGUCGAACGAGAAGUGAAGACGGAAACCUUCGGGCGGAAGGCUUUAUUUCGAGUGGCGGACGGGUGAUUAACGCGUGGGUAACCUGCCUCAUACAGGGGGAUAACAGUUGGAAACGACUGUUAAUACCGCAUCAGACCACAGCACCGCAUGGUGCGGGGGUCAAAACUCCGGUGGUAUGAGAUGGACCCGCGUUCGAUUAGCCAGUUGGCGGGGUAACGGCCCACCAAAGCGACGAUCGAUAGCCGAUCUGAGAGGAGGACCGGCAACAUUGGGACUGAGACACGGACCAAAAUCCUACGGGAGGCAGCAGUGGGGAAUAUUGCAAAAUGGGGGAAACCCUGAUGCAGCGACGCCGCGUGAGUGAAGAAGUAUUUCGGUAUGUAAAGCUCUAUCAGAAGGGAAGAAAAUGACGGUACCUGAGGAAGAAGCCCCGGCUAACUACGUG
This 478-nucleotide ribosomal RNA is filed under the name uncultured bacterium. RNAcentral's name for it is "partial 16S ribosomal RNA". It matches the Rfam family "Bacterial small subunit ribosomal RNA", at positions 28 to 507 of the family's 1533-position model. The record is from RNAcentral.